GAUUGUUCCUGGAACUGAAAAUAUCAGCUGGAUUCAGGAGAUCAUUGGAACGCUAACGAGCUGUAUCUGAUACUCAGUGUGUAAAAGAGAAAAGCCAACAUGGCUGAGAGGGAAUUUUCCUAAGCCACCUUUCACUCAAGAACCUGCAGCAUGAAAAGUGAACAAAUUGCUUGACCAAUCCUGCCCUCUUCAGGCCUUUGCAUCCCUCUGGCUCUGCCAGAUUUCUUCUUUUCCACACAGGCAAAUUAAACGUGCUGCUGACAUAACAGCACUUGGAUAUUA
Cyanistes caeruleus (blue tit) is the source of this 282-nucleotide non-coding RNA. The record is from RefSeq and is a predicted model, not a curated record. NCBI's taxonomy places the organism in Eukaryota, Metazoa, Chordata, Aves, Passeriformes, Paridae.